RNAcentral lists this ribosomal RNA (187 nucleotides) under uncultured bacterium. Its description in RNAcentral is "partial 16S ribosomal RNA". It matches the Rfam family "Bacterial small subunit ribosomal RNA", at positions 1314 to 1500 of the family's 1533-position model. The record is from RNAcentral.
GCCUGCAUGAAGUCGGAAUUGCUAGUAAUCGCAGAUCAGCAUGCUGCGGUGAAUACGUUCCCGGGCCUUGUACACACCGCCCGUCACACCAUGGGAGUCGGUAACACCCGAAGCCUGUAGUCUAACCGCAAGGAGGACGCAGUCGAAGGUGGGAUUGAUGAUUAGGGUUAAGUCGUAACAAGGUAAC